UACGUAGGGGGCUAGCGUUGUCCGGAAUCAUUGGGUGUAAAGCGCGUGUAGGCGGCCCGGUAAGUCCGCUGUGAAAGUCGGGGGCUCAACCCUCGAAUGCCGGUGGAUACUGUCGGGCUAGAGUGCGGAAGAGGCGAGUGGAAUUCCUGGUGUAGCGGUGAAAUGCGCAGAUAUCAGGAGGAACACCGAUUGCGAAGGCAGCUCGCUGGGACGUUACUGACGCUGAGACGCGAAAGCGUGGGGAGCAAACAGG
RNAcentral lists this ribosomal RNA (253 nucleotides) under uncultured bacterium. RNAcentral's name for it is "partial 16S ribosomal RNA". It matches the Rfam family "Bacterial small subunit ribosomal RNA", at positions 524 to 776 of the family's 1533-position model. The record is from RNAcentral.